This 106-nucleotide small nuclear RNA is filed under the name Daphnia pulicaria. Lineage: Eukaryota; Metazoa; Arthropoda; Branchiopoda; Diplostraca; Daphniidae. The record is from RNAcentral.
GUAUUACAUACGGAAUACAAAUACUAAAAUUGGAACAAUACAGAGAAGAUUAGCAUGGCCUCUGCGCAAAGAUGACACGUAAAAUAGUGAAGCGUUCCACAUCCCU